AUUGAACGCUGGCGGCAGGCCUAACACAUGCAAGUCGAACGGUAACAGGAAGCAGCUUGCUGCUUUGCUGACGAGUGGCGGACGGGUGAGUAAUGUCUGGGAAACUGCCUGAUGGAGGGGGAUAACUACUGGAAACGGUAGCUAAUACCGCAUAACGUCGCAAGACCAAAGAGGGGGACCUUCGGGCCUCUUGCCAUCGGAUGUGCCCAGAUGGGAUUAGCUAGUAGGUGGGGUAAAGGCUCACCUAGGCGACGAUCCCUAGCUGGUCUGAGAGGAUGACCAGCCACACUGGAACUGAGACACGGUCCAGACUCCUACGGGAGGCAGCAGUGGGGAAUAUUGCACAAUGGGCGCAAGCCUGAUGCAGCCAUGCCGCGUGUAUGAAGAAGGCCUUCGGGUUUUAAAGUACUUUCAGCGGGGAGGAAGGGAGUAAAGUUAAUACCUUUGCUCAUUGACGUUACCCGCAGAAGAAGCACCGGCUAACUCCGUG
This 490-nucleotide ribosomal RNA is filed under the name uncultured bacterium. RNAcentral's name for it is "partial 16S ribosomal RNA". It matches the Rfam family "Bacterial small subunit ribosomal RNA", at positions 30 to 507 of the family's 1533-position model. The record is from RNAcentral.